Molecule: transfer RNA, 66 nt
Filed under: Glottidia pyramidata
Lineage: Eukaryota; Metazoa; Brachiopoda; Lingulata; Lingulida; Lingulidae
Description: tRNA-Val
Source: RNAcentral
CGGGUCGAAGCAUUAUAGAUGCGUCUUGCUUACGACAAGAAGAUCCUUUAUUUUAAGGCGACCUGU